This 451-nucleotide ribosomal RNA is filed under the name uncultured organism. RNAcentral's name for it is "partial 16S ribosomal RNA". It matches the Rfam family "Bacterial small subunit ribosomal RNA", at positions 331 to 799 of the family's 1533-position model. The record is from RNAcentral.
GUACACUCCUACGGGAGGCAGCAGUGGGGAAUAUUGGACAAUGGGCGCAAGCCUGAUCCAGCCAUGCCGCGUGAGUGAUGAAGGCCCUAGGGUUGUAAAGCUCUUUCACCGGUGAAGAUAAUGACGGUAACCGGAGAAGAAGCCCCGGCUAACUUCGUGCCAGCAGCCGCGGUAAUACGAAGGGGGCUAGCGUUGUUCGGAUUUACUGGGCGUAAAGCGCACGUAGGCGGACUAUUAAGUCAGGGGUGAAAUCCCGGGGCUCAACCCCGGAACUGCCUUUGAUACUGGUAGUCUUGAGUUCGAGAGAGGUGAGUGGAAUUCCGAGUGUAGAGGUGAAAUUCGUAGAUAUUCGGAGGAACACCAGUGGCGAAGGCGGCUCACUGGCUCGAUACUGACGCUGAGGUGCGAAAGCGUGGGGAGCAAACAGGAUUAGAAACCCAGUAGUCCCAUG